CGGUGCUCGAGCUGUGGUGCGUGCCGCUAAGUUGUGCGUUCCAGGGUGCACUCGCCGGCGAGGCUGCACGGCGCCGGUUUCAUUGCUAAAAUCCGACGGACUUGUUGCAGAACUCGUUUUUUUUGUCGGGAAAGGGCUUCCCCGUGUAACUUUACAGCAGUUAUCGUAGAUAAGACUUGCAAAUUACAGAUGUGGACGGUGAGGGAACGGGAAUUUCACUGAAAGCGCCUGAGAACCAGUAAGAGACCUGCAACAGCUUUGUGCUCCACUGGCGAAUGCUUCCUCCCCUAAUACACAUUAUGUGUGCUUGGAGACACAAGGAGUAAGAUACAGCCCCUCAAGGGACUCGUCAUAGGGAGAGGACACAGCUUUGGGAAUAAAGGGGCCACAAAGGAGGAGAGAGGAGUUUGCUGAAACUUCCCAAGCUCCCAUUCCAGCAGUUCCUGAAGGAUUCAUUUCUCUCUGAGGAUCUCAUGAGGUGGCUUAGCAGCUAGAAUCUCUUCCUUAACAGUGGGAAGAACAACUCCUGGAAAUUUAGGUCGACUUUGACUGGAUUUAAAAGAAAGCUGUACAAUUCCACUUCUGUAUAUACAACCAAAGGAAAUGAGAUGUGCAUACCCAUGUUCAAUGAAGCAUUAUUCACAAUAGCCAAAAUGUGGAACCAAUCCUUAAACAAAAGGAAAACAGAAAAUCUGCUCAAGUCCCUGCAGGCACCUGAGAAAAUCACAACCCACACUUGCGAACCCCUAGGAGACCUAAAGCUGUGGUUUUACAAAUAAACAGAUAAGUAACAUUCCUACUCUUUCCUAUAGGUACUCAAUCUUCUUAACAACUCCCAUCCCACACAGGUUUGCAUCCCCAGCAGAUACAUAUGGCUAUGUGGUCACCCAUUCGAUCAGCCUAUAAAAGACUUGUCUUAUUUGAUAUUGUGAAACCCAUGGUUAUCAGUGUAUAUGAAAAUGUUUGGUUCAGGGGUCAAUGUACAAUAUGACAAGCAAAGUCCUCUAAUACACAGUUAUAUAAAAUCACUCACCUGAGAGCCAAGUGGACAAUUGGCCUUAUAUUGGCUGGAGUUGGAGCCCCAGAGGGAAAAUUUGCCUAUUAUUAGGCAACUCUUCAAAACUUUACUUAUUCGUUUCUAAACACUGUCUCAUAAAAUGGGGGAUGCUUUAGAUGAAUUAAGAUUAGCACUAGAUUACUUAUUCGUUGAAAAUUAGCACUAGAUUUCUUAUUGGUUGAACAAGGAGGAGUGUGCACCAUAAUCAAUAUAACCUGCUGCAGUUAUGUAAACACCUCAGGUCACAUAGAAGAAGAUAUACAGAAAAUACAUGAACAAGCUGUGUGGUUGCGUAAAUAUAACCAAGGCACCAAUCCCAACUGUAUCUGGUCAGCCAUUAGAAGCACCCUCCUGAGUCUCACUUGGUUGUUGCCCUUCCUAGGAACUUUGAUAGUUGUCUUAUUAUUAAUCUUUGGCCCUUGCUUGUUUAAAUUCUUGGUAAAGUUUGUGUUUUUUAGAUUACAACAAUUCCACAUAAAGAUGAUACUGACACAAAGCUUCCAAUCCAUCCCGUCUUCUGAACCGGGAAAUAAAGACACCCUGCCUUUAGGUGUCUUUAGAUCUAGAUCAGGCAUCUAGAGAUUUUUACUCCUCCAAUACUUGGCAGGGUCUAUGCCCGUAGACUCAUCAGGAUACCAUGUAAAUGAGGACCUCCCUUGGUACCCCAGAGGCCAACUGUAGACCCUUAUGAGAAAAUCCUGUCCCCAAAAUGAACAUCCACUGUCAGCAGGAAGAAGUUACAGAAGACCAGCCUUUGCCCUUACGAUUAAGGGUCCUCUUGUAAGUAGAGAGGGGAAUGUUAGGAAAGCAGGAGCCUAGGUGAUCCAGAGUGACACCAUUUUAAAAUAAACUCCACCUGAAAACUAGCAAGGCAUCUGCACACAUCUGUUUAGCAAGUAUAUACUUCUGUAACUGGAAUAAAAAGCGUUAUUUUAGAAUAUGCCUAUAGUUUGUAAUAAUUAGCCGAGGGAAAAAAAGUUCACAUUGGUGUAGGAAAAGUGCCCUAAUGGUCAUGGGUAAUAAUGGGACCGUGGUUCUGGUCAGUGAUUUGAUGGAAGGGGUGUAGAUAAUAUAUUGUUGUAAAUAAUAAAAAUAAAAAAUUGUUGUAAGUAAUAAAAAUAAAAUAAUAUUGUUGUAAGUAAUAAAGUAGGAGAAAUAUUUGGUCUUUUGCUUUUGGGUUAGUGCAACAGUAGUACCAUUACUUGGAGGAGAAGUUAGAGAAGGACAAGAAUAGGCUUGAAUAAGAUGAGUGAGAAGAGAGAAAAAUUCCGUAAGUGGAGAUGGCCAGGGAACACCAGGGCAGCAGAAUCUAACUCUGAAUUUAAUGCUGUUGUCUGUUCAUAUUGCACUGCGCUGUAAUCUCCCUAUCUUUCCUAAACCAUUGGCAAAGUCUGCUAUCCACUGGGGCCUUGGGUCGGUGGUGCUUUGGGAAAUACCAGAAGAGGGAAAGUACGGCAAAUGUGCAGUGUCACAGAUGAUAGGAGGAAAGCUGGCCAGUGGGAUGAUUAAAACAAUUUCGGUGGGAGUGGGAAUUCAGACCAUGUAAAUGGUCUGAAUUAAGAAAAUUUCAAGAAACAAAAAAUGUUUCUAAUGAGCCAAAGUGAAAGCUCUUCAUGAUUUCUUUAUAGAGGCUCUCUAGUGCUUGUCCUAAUUUCCUGAAAUCUCAUGGGUAUCUUACUCUCCUGGUGCCCGCCUCAAACAUUCACUGUAGCAAUUAUAUGAGCAGCCUAGAGAAUCCCAAUCCCAGUGGUCUUGCUCCCUGGAUCUACUUUCUCUUAAAAAUCAUUCCCCUAAGUUUCCGUCACUUGGUUGAAGUUUAGUAGAUAUCUCCACAUCUCCAGCUAGAACAGCACCAGAAUUUCAGGACUAGGGCAAUAGAGUCUGAUAUUAAAUUCUAUUUCUAUCUAUCUAUCUAUCAUCUAUCUAUCUAUCUAUCUAUCUAUCUAUCUAUCUAUCUAUCUAUCUACAGAACAAUUUGUGGGAUAGUAGCUUUGGGGUCCCAGAUCUAGGAUGGGCCUGGUCCUCCAUGCUGGUUCUCCUGGGUGAUAUUUCUGUUAGUUUGAACAGUAAUCACACUUUUAUUACUGUUUCAUCUUUUUUUUUUCACUCUUAGACUGAUUUUAUCAUGUGUAUAAAACAUACACACACCUACAUCUCAAGGAUAAACAUUAAUCCUUGAAAAAUAUGUGGUCUAAAACUAUAUUGAGGAGAGAAAGAUAGGACACUUUAAUUGCCACAUGAUUAACACGAGGUCACCACACAGCUUUCACAAAUCUACAAGUCAUUCUAUUUAGGCUGAGUCAAGUUCUCCCUUGGGCCAGCCAGAGCACAAAUAAUGGAGCAAUGUGACUCUUCAAUGACAGAUCUCUGAUUUCCAGAAAAGAGACUUUGAAAUACCCAAUUCUAGUAAAUAUGCAAUUAAAUUUCCAGCUAAAUGACCUUUGCUCCUGUAGUCUUCAUCUUGGGGAAGGGAAAGAAGUCUUAUUCUGUUUAAUAGUUUGAUUUUUAUAAUAGGGUUUGUCUCUGUUAUAAAUCUUGUUUGAUAUUUAAAAUGUUAGCUAAGAGAAAACUUCUGUUUGUUUUUAUUUAGUGGGAAGAAACUAACCCUCAUUGAGUGCCUAGUUAACAUCAGGCACUUUGUACACAUAAUCAAUUGAAUCUUGACCACAACCCUGUGAGGUGAAAAAUGAGAAGAUUAAAUAAGCCAUGGGAAGAUUUUUUAAAAUGACAUGAAACUCCAAGGGUAAAAAGUAGGCUGGGAAAUCUUAGGAUGGUGAACCAUCAUGUUUCCUGAAUGUGAAUCCUGUACCUGGUUUGACUGUAGUCACCCCUUCUCCAACACUCUCCACGAUGCCGGCUGCCUCAUGGCCUAAAAUCACAGGAAGUGGGGUCACCAUGGUACCACUAACCACGUGGUCAUCUGUGCCACAGAUUCCUACAGCCACCAUCUACAGAGUGAAGAGAAGAUGUUUAUAAAAGAUUGUGAGUCUCAGGAUGUUCAACAUGAUCAAUGCCAAAUAAAUAUCAGAAUACUUGGAAGUAAAGUACUAAUAGUAGGAGUUCCUGAUUAUCAGGUGCCUAUGAUGUGACAGGCACAUUGUGGCCUGUGCUCGACCAGGAGACUGGUGAGUCCUUGUGGAUUUCUUCCCUGCUCAAGUGCAUAAAGCAGGUGUAUUGCAUAGCUUUUCCAGGCUGAGAUCAAAGACGGAGAUGUGCCUACCCGCAGAUCCUAGAUGGCCAUGUUUGCAACAGAGGUAAUGAUGAGCAGUGCGAAGAUGUGACUCCAAAGCCUGGAGAAGGACAGACCAGCAUCCCUGCAAGAGAUCCAACUGUCUUCUUUUCCGCAGAGGUCCAUAAUUUACAUGGGCCUGACAAAGAAUACUGUAACUUGCAGAAAUUAUCUUCAGUUCAAAUCCUUCAUUUUGGGGGUUAAAUAACUUGCCCAAGAUGUCGAGGGAGCGGAAAUACUUGCUGGUCUUGCAGCGGCUGUGGAGCCUGGAAUCCUGCCAAGAAGAGCAUGUGUGAGAGAUCAAAAUGUUUGCUUACAUUCCUCCUGUGAAGGGAGUUGGGAAAUAACCUAAGAAGCCCAAUCCAAAAACAAAGAUGUACCAUCCAGUCUUCUCUGUGAGAACCAAACUACAAACCAUCUGAAUGUUCCAAAAGUGUUUUGAUGAUGUAUUGAUGUAUUUUAAAUUAUCCUGAAAAUGUUCUUGGCAGAUGCUUAAACAUGUAAUUACUGAGAUGAUGUAGAAAUACCAAGUGUUUAUUAAAACAAUACAGAGUAAUACAAAUGGUAUGUUUGUCGCAAUAUAAAAGUAUCUAAAAAUUAAAGAGUUCUUUAAUGGUGGAGAUUGUUUUCCUUUUUGAAGUUAAAAUAUAAAUUUUUGUAAAAAGCACAAAUUAUUACUAUUUAUAGCUAACAUUUAUGGAGUGCUGACUAUGCUCAUUUUUGAGCAUACAUUGCCUCAUUUAGUGCAAUGUUUAGCAUUAACUUAUGAGGUAAAUGCCAUUGCCAUGCACAUUGUACAGAUGAAGACAUUGAGGUUUAGAGAGAUUGCAU
RNAcentral lists this long non-coding RNA (5117 nucleotides) under Homo sapiens (human). RNAcentral describes it as "HSALNT0075354". Lineage: Eukaryota; Metazoa; Chordata; Mammalia; Primates; Hominidae. The record is from RNAcentral.